GACGAACGCUGGCGGCGUGCUUAACACAUGCAAGUCGAACGGAAAGGCCCUGCUUUUGUGGGGUGCUCGAGUGGCGAACGGGUGAGUAACACGUGAGUAACCUGCCCUUGACUUUGGGAUAACUUCAGGAAACUGGGGCUAAUACCGGUUAGGAGCUCCUGCUGCAUGGUGGGGGUUGGAAAGUUUCGGCGGUUGGGGAUGGACUCGCGGCUUAUCAGCCUGUUGGUGGGGUAGUGGCUUACCAAGGCUUUGACGGGUAGCCGGCCUGCGAGGGUGACCGGCCACAUUGGGACUGAGAUUCGGCCCAGACGCCGACGGGAGGCAGCAGUGGGGAAUAUUGCACAAUGGGCGGAAGCCUGAUGCAGCAACGCCGCGUGCGGGAUUACGGCCUUCGGGUUGUAAACCGCUUUCGCCUGUGACGAAGCGUGAGUGACGGUAAUGGGUAAAGAAGCACCGGCUAACUACGUG
RNAcentral lists this ribosomal RNA (468 nucleotides) under uncultured bacterium. RNAcentral's name for it is "partial 16S ribosomal RNA". It matches the Rfam family "Bacterial small subunit ribosomal RNA", at positions 28 to 507 of the family's 1533-position model. The record is from RNAcentral.